This 76-nucleotide non-coding RNA is filed under the name Lachnospira multipara. RNAcentral's name for it is "c-di-GMP-I riboswitch aptamer". It matches the Rfam family "c-di-GMP-I riboswitch aptamer". Rfam says of the family: GEMM was predicted in a large-scale screen for bacterial structured RNA regulatory elements. Genes associated with GEMM are involved in a diverse array of functions, including chemotaxis regulation, signal transduction, secretion and chitin. The record is from Rfam by way of RNAcentral. Lineage: Bacteria; Bacillati; Bacillota; Clostridia; Lachnospirales; Lachnospiraceae.
UUAUAUAAAAGGUAAAAUAAAGGAAACUUUAUGACACAAAACUAAAGGGGCUUUAAAAUGCCAGCCAGUUGCUAUA